CCAGUCUCCAAAUGGGACCAAAUCCCAAUGGUUAGGGUAGAUUGAGAAUAGGGUUGGUUCUUAUUUGACCUGCGACCUGUACCUAGUAGCGAGGGCGAAUACGUACACACACACACACACACACACACACACACACACACACACACACACACACACACACACACACACACACACACACACAGUUGCAAUAAAUGAUUAAACCAAACACAAAUUUCAAUAGAUGUUUCGUCUAUGUGUUUCAGCCUCCCAGACAAGAACUCAGUACUUAUUAACGUUGGUCUU
Molecule: long non-coding RNA, 282 nt
Organism: Homarus americanus (American lobster)
Lineage: Eukaryota; Metazoa; Arthropoda; Malacostraca; Decapoda; Nephropidae
Exons: 3
Source: RefSeq, a predicted model, not a curated record